This 502-nucleotide ribosomal RNA is filed under the name uncultured bacterium. RNAcentral describes it as "partial 16S ribosomal RNA". It matches the Rfam family "Bacterial small subunit ribosomal RNA", at positions 30 to 523 of the family's 1533-position model. The record is from RNAcentral.
AUUGAACGCUGGCGGCAGGCUUAACACAUGCAAGUCGAGCGGGGUGAUGGUGCUUGCACUAUCACUUAGCGGCGGACGGGAGAGUAAUGCUUAGGAAUCUGCCUAUUAGUGGGGGACAACAUCUCGAAAGGGAUGCUAAUACCGCAUACGUCCUACGGGAGAAAGCAGGGGAUCACUUGUGACCUUGCGCUAAUAGAUGAGCCUAAGUCGGAUUAGCUAGUUGGUGGGGUAAAGGCCUACCAAGGCGACGAUCUGUAGCGGGUCUGAGAGGAUGAUCCGCCACACUGGGACUGAGACACGGCCCAGACUCCUACGGGAGGCAGCAGUGGGGAAUAUUGGACAAUGGGGGGAACCCUGAUCCAGCCAUGCCGCGUGUGUGAAGAAGGCCUUAUGGUUGUAAAGCACUUUAAGCGAGGAGGGGGCUCUUUGGUUAAUACCCAAGAUGAGUGGACGUUACUCGCAGAAUAAGCACCGGCUAACUCUGUGCCAGCCGCCGCGGUAA